GAUGAACGCUGGCGGCGUGCUUAACACAUGCAAGUCGAACGAUGAAGCCCAGCUUGCUGGGUGGAUUAGUGGCGAACGGGUGAGUAACACGUGAGUAACCUGCCCUUAACUCUGGGAUAAGCCUGGGAAACUGGGUCUAAUACCGGAUAGGAGCGUCCACCGCAUGGUGGGUGUUGGAAAGAUUUAUCGGUUUUGGAUGGACUCGCGGCCUAUCAGCUUGUUGGUGAGGUAAUGGCUCACCAAGGCGACGACGGGUAGCCGGCCUGAGAGGGUGACCGGCCACAAUGGGACUGCGAGACGGCCCAGACUCCUACGGGAGGCAGCAGUGGGGAAUAUUGCACAAUGGGCGCAAGCCUGAUGCAGCGACGCCGCGUGAGGGAUGACGGCCUUCGGGUUGUAAACCUCUUUCAGUAGGGAAGAAGCGAAAGUGACGGUACCUGCAGAAGAAGCACCGGCUAACUACGUG
This 466-nucleotide ribosomal RNA is filed under the name uncultured bacterium. Its description in RNAcentral is "partial 16S ribosomal RNA". It matches the Rfam family "Bacterial small subunit ribosomal RNA", at positions 28 to 507 of the family's 1533-position model. The record is from RNAcentral.